UGAAUGGGUAAGGCAGUGGCUGAGUGACAGGCAACAGAGGGUUGUAGUUAAUGGAAUAUAUUCGAAGCUUGGACUUGUCACCAGUGGGGUACCUCAGGGACCUGUACUUGGACCCAUUCUCUUUAAUAUUUUUAUUAGUGAUAUUGCAGAAGGUCUUGAUGGUAAGGUAUGUCUUUUUGCUGAUGAUACUAAAAUAUGUAACAG
Pelobates cultripes (western spadefoot toad) is the source of this 204-nucleotide non-coding RNA. The record is from the annotation of a GenBank genome assembly. NCBI's taxonomy places the organism in Eukaryota, Metazoa, Chordata, Amphibia, Anura, Pelobatidae.